AAGUCCCGCAACGAGCGCAACCCCUGCCUUUAGUUGCCACCAGAUUAUGCUGAGCACUCUAAAGGGACUGCCGGUGAAAAACCGGAGGAAGGUGGGGAUGACGUCAAGUCCUCAUGGCCUUUAUGUCCAGGGCUACACACGUACUACAAUGGGCGGCACAAUGAGUCGCAAACCCGCGAGGGGGAGCCAAUCUCAAAAAACCGGCCUCUCAGUUCGGAUUGCAGUCUGCAACUCGACUGCAUGAAGCCGGAAUCGCUAGUAAUCGCUGAUCAGCAAGCAGCGGUGAAUACGUUCCCGGGCCUUGUACACACCGCCCGUCACAUCACGAAAGCCAGUUGUACUAGAAGCCGGCAAUUCAACCGUAAGGAGAUAGCCGUCCAAGGUAUGACUGGUGAUUGGGGUG
RNAcentral lists this ribosomal RNA (403 nucleotides) under uncultured soil bacterium. RNAcentral's name for it is "bacterial SSU rRNA". It matches the Rfam family "Bacterial small subunit ribosomal RNA", at positions 1082 to 1482 of the family's 1533-position model. The record is from RNAcentral.